UACGAAGGGGGCUAGCGUUGUUCGGAAUUACUGGGCGUAAAGCGCACGUAGGCGGACAUUUAAGUCAGGGGUGAAAUCCCAGAGCUCAACUCUGGAACUGCCUUUGAUACUGGGUGUCUUGAGUAUGGAAGAGGUGAGUGGAAUUCCGAGUGUAGAGGUGAAAUUCGUAGAUAUUCGGAGGAACACCAGUGGCGAAGGCGGCUCACUGGUCCAUUACUGACGCUGAAGCGCGAAAGCUAGGGGAGCAAACAGG
This 253-nucleotide ribosomal RNA is filed under the name uncultured bacterium. Its description in RNAcentral is "partial 16S ribosomal RNA". It matches the Rfam family "Bacterial small subunit ribosomal RNA", at positions 524 to 776 of the family's 1533-position model. The record is from RNAcentral.